Long non-coding RNA from Asterias rubens (European starfish), 1963 nucleotides. RefSeq lists it as uncharacterized. Lineage: Eukaryota; Metazoa; Echinodermata; Asteroidea; Forcipulatida; Asteriidae. The record is from RefSeq and is a predicted model, not a curated record. The transcript has 2 exons.
GGGGAGAUUCUGAAAAGAACCGUUGGUUUAAACUCGGCGUUUCGAUCAGCGCAGAAGACGAUCAGAGCAUACUGAUCGAAACGUCGAGUUGAAACCAACGGUUCUUUUCAGAACCUCCCCAACUAAUUAGAUCUAGUCAUUACAUGGUGUUACCGCAAACCUUUCUAUACUGUAUAAUAGUAUGUUUCCAAACAUGGCCAAAUAUAAUGGCUGUGUGCAGGCAUUUGGCCGAUAAUUGAUAUUCACAAGUGCUUUUUUAAAGAUGUACCGCAUGUAUCUUAGGAAAUCGAGUACAGUUUAACAAUAUAUUAAGCACUUACAUGUACACCACCAUUCUAGACGCUCCUUUAUGCUCACCUGUUCCAGCAGGCUUACUAACUAUUCACUUGCCAUGUCUGUGCCUCGGAGAAAAUUUGAUUUUGGCGCUUCGUAGAUUGAUUGAUUGAUUGAUUGAUUGAUUGAUUAAUGAUUUAUUGAAGCCGCCAAGAUGGACACCAUGCUUUAGUUUACAUGUAACUAUGGCCCUUUUCGAAACCAUGGCUCCAGAUUGGUUCAGGCUAGAUUGGCCCCGCGACCGUUUUGACAUUUUGAGCAUGCUUUGUGUAUCUGUGCUCAGGGCUUCAGACGGCCUGAAGCGGAAUCCAAAGCCGAGGUAUCGAAAAGGGACUAAUGCCUAGGUGUAUAGUUGUAUGCUUCAAAUCAGUGCGCCAUGAUGGUUGCUGGUGUUACUUGGACUCAUGUCUAGGUGUAUAGUUGUAUGCUUCAAAUCAGUGCGCCAUGAGGGUUGCUGGUGUUGCUUGGACUCAUGUCUAGGUGUAUAGUUGUAUGCUUCAAAUCAGUGCGCCAUGAGGGUUGCUGGUGUUGCUUGGACUCAUGUCUAGGUGUAUGCUUCAAAUCAGUGCGCCAUGAGGGUUGCUGGUGUUGCUUGGACUCAUGUCUAGGUGUAUAGUUGUAUGCUUCAAAUCAGUGCGCCAUGAUGGUUGCUGGUGUUACUUGGACUCAUGUCUAGGUGUAUAGUUGUAUGCUUCAAAUCAGUGCGCCAUGAGGGUUGCUGGUGUUGCUUGGACUCAUGUCUAGGUGUAUGCUUCAAAUCAGUGCGCCAUGAGGGUUGCUGGUGUUACUUGGACUCAUGCCUAGGUGUAUAGUUAUAUGCUUCAAAUCAGUGCGCCAUGAUGGUUGCUGAUGUUACUUGGACUCAUGUCUAGGUGUAUGCUUCAAAUUAGUGCACCAUGAGGGUUGCUGGUGUUACUUGGACUCAUGCCUAGGUGUAUGCUUCAAAUUAGUGCGCCAUGAUGGUUGCUGGUGUUACUUGGACUCAAGAUUUCACCCAGAACCCUUGGGUGCCAAUCAUGCCCAUCAGGAUACGCAUAAGGGCAAAUUUUGGCAGAGGGCAACAUCUUCGCAAUCAAUGGUUUUAAAGUAGCAAUGGUUUUCAUUUUCAUUUUGCAAAGGGCACUUCCAUUUCAAAUUUGUUCAGUCUAUGGGAAACUUUUAGCGUAGAGGGGCACCAAGGCCAGGGGCAUAAUUCCAGUACUGGUAUCUACAUGGGCCAGUUAAAACAUUCUGAUGAAUACAAGCAAGAAGCUGAACAUUUGAAGUUUAAAGGAACAUUACAGAAUUGGUUUUGCUAUCAAUUUUUAUUUCUUCCCAAUUCUGUAACGUUCCUUCAAGUUUAUUUGAUGCCAUUCAAUUGUUGUCCUUCACAUCAACUACCCUCCAGGGAAUAACUUAAAUAAUCCAUGGAUUUAUGGACUCAAUUCCAAUCUUAAUAAAGAAACUGAGGAUACACAAUUCGUUCUUGUAGUUGUUUAUUUAUUCUUUAAAUCAUUAUAAACAAUCCAAGUUAAUGGAAUACACUUUUACAUGGAAAACCCCCACGAUAUUUUACAUUACUUUUUUAGGGGAAAAAACUUGUUAAUUAAAUAACUGUACAAAUAUUAAACAUGUUUUGGUUUAAACAAUA